GACAGAGGGUGCAAACGUUGUUCGGAUUUACUGGGCGUAAAGCGCGUGUAGGCGGCCUUGCAGGUCGGGUGUGAAAGCCCUCGGCUCAACCGAGGAAGUGCAUUCGAAACUGCUGAACUUGAGUAUGGAAGAGGGUCGCGGAAUUCCCGGUGUAGAGGUGAAAUUCGUAGAUAUCGGGAGGAACAUCAGUUGCGAAGGCGGCUCUCUGGACCAGCACUGACACUGAGGCACGAAAGCGUGGGGAGCAAACAGG
This 253-nucleotide ribosomal RNA is filed under the name uncultured bacterium. RNAcentral's name for it is "partial 16S ribosomal RNA". It matches the Rfam family "Bacterial small subunit ribosomal RNA", at positions 524 to 776 of the family's 1533-position model. The record is from RNAcentral.